This 480-nucleotide ribosomal RNA is filed under the name Triticum aestivum (bread wheat). Its description in RNAcentral is "partial small subunit ribosomal RNA". Lineage: Eukaryota; Viridiplantae; Streptophyta; Magnoliopsida; Poales; Poaceae. The record is from RNAcentral.
AUGAAGAAGGAGGUGAACUCGAUGAACAUGGCCCCCGUCUCGAUCAGGCCAGCGUGCCUCAGGAUCGCCGGGAUGGCGAGGCUUCCCAUGGCAGACAUGCCGGUCAAGAACUUUGCGGCUUUCAUCCAGCUGAAAAAUGAGAUGCCCUGUCUGAUUAUAACUGUUAUGGUAGCAAAUGUGUGGAUCAGCAUCCUAAGUUGUGAUUGCCUAAUGCCUAUCAUGUCUGCUGUGCUGAUAUACAUGUUCAGUUUACUACUUCUCCAAAGGAAAGAGAAUCAUCAAUUUAGAACUUACGCUCCACCCUCUCCGCUACUCAAGAACCGUGUGGAUCCGUCGCCAAAGAACAGGCAUGGCAUUGGCACAAUGAUAUACAUGAGUGCUGCAGAACAGAAAAAGCAUGCACAAGAACGUCAGUGGAAAAGCCACAGGAACUUGCUCACAGUGAUUGAGGAGGAUAACAAACUAGCAGUCACCUGCUAA